This 327-nucleotide ribosomal RNA is filed under the name Triticum aestivum (bread wheat). RNAcentral's name for it is "partial small subunit ribosomal RNA". The record is from RNAcentral. Lineage: Eukaryota; Viridiplantae; Streptophyta; Magnoliopsida; Poales; Poaceae.
AUGAGCACACCCGGCCUCUGCAUAACUAGGAUGCACACAGCCAACAACAACGCACACACACAAAAAACUCCACGGGCAAAAAGCAAAGUCAUAGAAGACCAAAGCUAUGCCAUGUGGAGGGAGAAAAAGAAAAAAAACCUAAAGCGAUCAAAACAACGAUCAACGAUAUACAACGACGACCAUCAGCACAAACAAUCCCUUGACAACAUAAGGACUAUCAGAAAAGUUCUUCAAAAGCAAUGCCUCCAGGAAGGGAACAGCGUGCAAACGCCGUCAUCGCCGGAUCCAACCACCGCCGGAUCAUGGGUUUUCACCCUGAAGAUUUAG